RNAcentral lists this ribosomal RNA (770 nucleotides) under Lactococcus lactis. RNAcentral describes it as "bacterial SSU rRNA". It matches the Rfam family "Bacterial small subunit ribosomal RNA", at positions 89 to 858 of the family's 1533-position model. The record is from RNAcentral. Lineage: Bacteria; Bacillati; Bacillota; Bacilli; Lactobacillales; Streptococcaceae.
CAUAGAGCAGCGAACGGGUGAGUAACGCGUGGGGAAUCUGCCUUUGAGCGGGGGACAACAUUUGGAAACGAAUGCUAAUACCGCAUAACAACUUUAAACACAAGUUUUAAGUUUGAAAGAUGCAAUUGCAUCACUCAAAGAUGAUCCCGCGUUGUAUUAGCUAGUUGGUGAGGUAAAGGCUCACCAAGGCGAUGAUACAUAGCCGACCUGAGAGGGUGAUCGGCCACAUUGGGACUGAGACACGGCCCAACUCCUACGGGAGGCAGCAGUAGGGAAUCUUCGGCAAUGGACGAAAGUCUGACCGAGCAACGCCGCGUGAGUGAAGAAGGUUUUCGGAUCGUAAAACUCUGUUGGUAGAGAAGAACGUUGGUGAGAGUGGAAAGCUCAUCAAGUGACGGUACUACCCAGAAAGGGACGGCUAACUACGUGCCAGCAGCCGCGGUAAUACGUAGGUCCCGAGCGUUGUCCGGAUUUAUUGGGCGUAAGCGAGCGCAGGUGGUUUAUUAAGUCUGGUGUAAAAGGCAGUGGCUCACCCAUUGUAUGCAUUGAACUGGUAGACUUGAGUGCAGGAAGGAGAGUGAAUUCCAUGUGUAGCGGUGAAUGCGUAGAUUAUGAGGAACACCGGUGGCGAAGCGGCUCUCUGGCCUGUAACUGACACUGAGGCUCGAAGCGUGGGGGAGCAAAACAGGAUUAGAUACCCUGGUAGUCCACCGCCGUAACGAUAUGCUAGAUGUAGGGAGCUUAUAGUUCUCCUGUAUCCGCAGCUACGC